RNAcentral lists this long non-coding RNA (1439 nucleotides) under Sus scrofa (pig). RNAcentral describes it as "lncRNA (ENSSSCG00025060329.1)". The record is from RNAcentral. Lineage: Eukaryota; Metazoa; Chordata; Mammalia; Artiodactyla; Suidae.
GAGAAUGAGAAUACAACAGAAUAGCUGCAUGCAACCCACGGGUUUCCUAAUAGGAGAGUUGGUAGACACAAUCAGAAAGUCUCAUUGGAAGGGGAGGAUCCGGUGGCAAAGGGAGCACAUAGUGCCAUGGUAUUUGGGUGGGUGCAGAUGAGUCCUUGUCCUGGAAGUCAGUCCAUUGAAAAACAAUGUGAAUUCCCGGUUUUGAGAGCCUUGUUGCUGUCAAAUCUUCUUUCUUUUAAAUGCGGGUGGAUAUACCACAGAACCCUUGUAUAAGGGCAAAGUCAAAAUAGUACUUUUUAAAAUGGUGCCCUUGCUGUGAGGAGCAGAGCACUUCCAAAACUCAGGGGACCAUCUUAGGUCUCAGGUGAGCGAUGCUGCUAUUAGUUUUUCCUCCUUGCCCGUGAUCUCCUCCCAACACGCCAGCGCAACUCUGCUCUGCGGUAAAGUCGAAUUAAGAUGGAGAAAGCUUGCUGCUCUUUGAGGACCCCAGUUUCCUGUUUCAUCACUGACGUGAUUCCAGACAUCAAAAAAGACAAAAAAAAAAAAAAAAAGCACAUAAAUAAAUGUGAGUGGAGAUGAGGAAAAUGUCGAAGGCAAAUAGCAUCAAUGGACAACCCUCACUCUUCCUAUCCUUGGGCCCUUCACCAUCUGAAAAUUCCUCCUCAGGAUACAGGCAGCUAACAAUGAAUAAGAUGUGACUGACUCCUUUUGGACUGAGAUAACUUGGAAGCAAGUGAACCCCCAUUCUUUGGCCAGUUGGAUUUUUGUUCUAGGGAAAGUCUUCAGAGUUGGAAUGAGUCUUGAAACAAUAUCAGAAGAGGCAAAUUGUGUGCAGUAGCAGCCCCGUCAUUAGAAUGAAACACAGUUUUCUUAUGGAGCAUCCUAUCCCAGAGGUUAUAAGAUCAGAAGAGGGGAAAGGGGGAGAGGAGGGUAGUUUUCAGUAGUUCAUGACUUCACAUUCUAGGGAAGCAAAAUUUUGAUAACAUCUGAUAUUAAAGUACUUUUCUAUCAUAGCAAGAAAGACAAUACAAAAAUAUCUCUAAUCCAUUAUAUAUUUUAUAUUUAGUGUAAACUUUAUUUUAUCAAUGUGAUAUAUAUUAACCUAGACUUAAAAGUCAAGUUAUUAUUUUUUAUAGCAGCAGUACUUUGACCCAUUUCAUCUACUGAUAAUUCUUGUUACUAGGAGGGACCACUUUUUUGAAUAUCAAAUGUGCGUGUGUGUGAAAGGAUAAGAGUUUCUGGCAUGGAGUAAGUAAGCACUAUAUGUGUCAGCUCAUAAUCAUUUCAUUGCUGUUGGCUAGAUUUCAAUGUUUGGCAUGUCUACGACAUCCUCCUAUGAAAGAUGAGGUAUUAAUUUUUUUUUCUUUAAAAUCAGAUUUUCUUUUUGUCUUUUUUUUUUUUUUUUUUUUUUUUAGGGCUGAGGCACAUGGAAGUUCCCA